This 492-nucleotide ribosomal RNA is filed under the name uncultured bacterium. Its description in RNAcentral is "partial 16S ribosomal RNA". It matches the Rfam family "Bacterial small subunit ribosomal RNA", at positions 29 to 507 of the family's 1533-position model. The record is from RNAcentral.
AGUGAACGCUGGCGGUAGGCUUAACACAUGCAAGUCGAAGGGCAGCCCAGUAAGAGCUUGCUCUGACGGUUGCCGAGUGGCGGACGGGAGAGGAAUACAUCGCAAUCUACAUUUUCGUGGGAGAUAACGUAGGCAGACUUAAGCUAAUACCGCAUACGACCUACGGGUGAAUCAAGGGGAACUUCGGACCUUGCGCGCUUGAAUAAGCCGAUGCUGGAUUAGCUAGUUGGCGGGGUAACGGCCGACCAAGGCGACGAUCCGUAGCUGGUCUGAGAGGAUGAUCGGCCACACUGGAACUGAGACACGGUCCAGACUCCUACGGGAGGCAGCAGUGGGGAAUAUUGGACAAUGGGCGCAAGCCUGAUCCAGCCAUGCCGCGUGGGUGAAGAAGGCCUUCGGGUUGUAAAGCCCUGUUGUUGGGAAAGAAAAGCAGUGGGAUAAUACCUGGCCGUUCUGACGGUACCUAAAGAAUAAGCACCGGCUAACUUCGUG